GGUGAACCUGCGGAAGGAUCAUUACU
Molecule: ribosomal RNA, 26 nt
Filed under: Phyllosticta capitalensis
Lineage: Eukaryota; Fungi; Ascomycota; Dothideomycetes; Botryosphaeriales; Phyllostictaceae
Description: partial 18S ribosomal RNA
Source: RNAcentral